AUGAUUGCAACUCCAAUGAAAAAGCUUAACAAAUUCCGCCGCCUCAAGUACUUGGAGAUACAGCUUCAUACGCCAAGACGUUGUCCAGACUUUGAUUUUUAUUCCCUGGUUUCUAUUCUUAAUGCUUGUCCUGUCCUGGCUACUUUCAUCUUGCGUUUAGAGAUGCGCGAUGCUGAUGAUGCCAUUCCGGGAGAUCCUCAUGGUGAUUCCUCACAACGGAAAACGCAUAUGAGGGGGCAGGGCCAUGGCAAGUUGAAGAAUGUUCUAGUGAGGGGUUUUCCCUCUGCAAAAGGUUUGGUUGAGCUAACAAGUCACAUCCUUGAGACCGCAGCAUCCUUGAAGCGCCUGGUACUGGAAACUGCAUAUGGCUGCCAUACGAGGGAUUGCAUUGGCAUAUGCUCGCCUUUAACGAGAAAGGCCCUCUUGGAAGCACGGAAAGCUGUAGGUGUCAUCAAGACAUACGUCGAGGGUAAAGUCCCCUCAACUGUUAAAUUCAAGCUUAUCGAGCCAUGUGCCAAGUGUCACGCCGACCACGCAUAA
RNAcentral lists this ribosomal RNA (540 nucleotides) under Triticum aestivum (bread wheat). Its description in RNAcentral is "partial small subunit ribosomal RNA". Lineage: Eukaryota; Viridiplantae; Streptophyta; Magnoliopsida; Poales; Poaceae. The record is from RNAcentral.